RNAcentral lists this ribosomal RNA (283 nucleotides) under Marquandomyces marquandii. RNAcentral's name for it is "Metarhizium marquandii partial 18S ribosomal RNA". It matches the Rfam family "Eukaryotic small subunit ribosomal RNA", at positions 183 to 469 of the family's 1831-position model. The record is from RNAcentral. Lineage: Eukaryota; Fungi; Ascomycota; Sordariomycetes; Hypocreales; Clavicipitaceae.
CCCGACUUCGGAAGGGAUGUAUUUUAUUMAGAUUWWWAWCCAAUGCCCUCUGGGUACCUUGGUGAUUCAUGAUAACUUCUCGAAUCGCACGGMCUUGUGCCGGCVAUGGUUCAUUCAAAUUUMUUCCCUAUCAACUUUCGAUGUUUGGGUAGUGGCCAAACAUGGUUGCAACGGGUAACGGAGGGUUAGGGCUCGACCCCGGAGAAGGAGCCUGAGAAACGGCUACUACAUCCAAGGAAGGCAGCAGGCGCGCAAAAWACCCAAACCCSAAWCSGGGAGGWAG